GUUGUCUUAGAGUGGGACUGCGAUGCUGCAACUGCCAUCUUCUGCAUGGUACCUGAUAAUGUUCAGAACUAUUCACAAACUGGGUCCUAAUCCCUUCCCCAGGCAAUUGAUCACACAGCACACCCAUGAGGCUAUAGUUACAUGCUUAGAGUCAGAAAGCAAGAGUGGGAACGUAUGAAACACAAUUAUGUCAUCACAACCGGCUCAGACCUGAUUUUAUCAUGCCUAUUUGAUGAUGGGUUGCUACUGUACAAGCUACUUUACAGAGUGGCUGCUAGGCCUUAAUGGGUCAGAUAACACUGCUCAUAAUGAACAGUUCAGGUUUCAUGAUACUCAAUGGCCCGUUGUUAACUGUUCAGUUCCUGCUAAGGCCCAACAUCUAGCUUUCUUUCAAAGGGAGAAUAGUUGUAUGCAGAUGACAUUAGGGACUUCCUCUAAAGAUCGAAGGGCCUCCACUGUAAUUCAUGGAUAGGAGCCUGCCAAAGGCUCCAAAUAGCAUCCCUAUCUGCCACUGCCACUUCAAGUACCAUUGGGUAAGCUGGAUCAUAUGGUCCAGAUGGCAGAGCAACUGCACGAAAGCUUAAACUUGUUGAAAAGCCUUCUCUCAUUCCAGACCAUACUGAAAAUGGGAAGGUUUCUCUGUUCUCCUUUUUUUUGUUCGUAGGCUUGAGCAACACACCCAAGUGGGGAAUGUGUGGCCUCCAAAAUAGGCCCGCUACACAUUGUGAGUCCUUCGUGGUGGUGGGAGAAGCCACAUGCACUCUCCUUAUACUAGAAGUAAUAUUUCUUCAUCUUUUACACCACUGGGCCCCCCAAAUUUCAGCAAAGUAGAAGGCCCUUUGGGUUGUAUUCAAUUCCAGUCCUCUGAUAUGCAUGUUUUACCAACUUGUCCAGAGUGGUUGCUAUCUUAUGCUCACUUGCCCCAGUUACAGUGAUGUCAUCAAUGUCAUGGUCCAGUGUGAUGUCUUGUGGAACAGAUAGGUGGUCAGAAUCUUCAUGAGCUAAAUUAUGACAUAGGACUGGCGUGCUGAGAGACCUUUGAAGCACAACAGUAAAGUUAUACUUCUGGCUUUGCCAGAUGAAAGCAGACUCCUUUUGGUGGUCCUCAUGGACAGGUAUGAAGCAAAGAGCGUUUGCAAAAUCAACAGCUGUUUACCAUGUUGCAGGAGAACCCUUACUCUGCUCAAACUCAGACAGCAUUCCUGGUACAGAAGCAGCAGUUAGAGUAAUUAUUUGACUAAGUUUGCAAUGAUCAGCUGCCAUUGUCUGUGAUUCAUCUGUUUUCUCCAUUGUCUAUGAUUCAUCAUCUGUUUUCUGCACAGGCUGAAGAGAAGAGACAUUUGAAUUUGAACAACCACUGAGGAGCCCAGGUUCCAGGCACCACAGUCAUUUCUGAUGAGACUCUCAACUAUACAGAGGUAGAAAGCCUCUUCGGGAUCCUGAAUAACUGGGUCCCCGCUGGCGGGGACAAGUGGCGCCCGAACAGGGACCCCAAAGCAAGGCUGACUACAGGACGACGGAGAUAAGAGAGCUGCAGCGGGAAUCGAGGACUCUUCAGGCCGUAUCGCUCGUAUCGCUCGUGCGUCGCUGAAGAAGGAGAGCAAUGAAGCUCUACUGGAUUCUACUGAAACUUCUCUUUCCAACUGUGCUGACAUCCGGAACAUCAAGCCCCUAUCAGAUUUGGAAUUACACCUGGAAAUUCUGUUUCAGUACAUUAUCAUCGCUUGGAGACCGG
This 1735-nucleotide small RNA is filed under the name Rattus norvegicus (Norway rat). RNAcentral's name for it is "uncharacterized LOC102549899". Lineage: Eukaryota; Metazoa; Chordata; Mammalia; Rodentia; Muridae. The record is from RNAcentral.